RNAcentral lists this ribosomal RNA (492 nucleotides) under uncultured bacterium. Its description in RNAcentral is "partial 16S ribosomal RNA". It matches the Rfam family "Bacterial small subunit ribosomal RNA", at positions 29 to 507 of the family's 1533-position model. The record is from RNAcentral.
AGUGAACGCUGGCGGUAGGCCUAACACAUGCAAGUCGAACGGCAGCACAGUAAGAGCUUGCUCUUACGGGUGGCGAGUGGCGGACGGGUGAGGAAUACAUCGGAAUCUACUUUUUCGUGGGGGAUAACGUAGGGAAACUUACGCUAAUAUCGCAUACGACCUACGGGUGAAAGCAGGGGAUCUUCGGACCUUGCGCGAUUGAAUGAGCCGAUGUCGGAUUAGUUAGUUGGCGGGGUAAAGGCCCACCAAGGCGACGAUCCGUAGCUGGUCUGAGAGGAUGAUCAGCCACACUGGAACUGAGACACGGUCCAGACUCCUACGGGAGGCAGCAGUGGGGAAUAUUGGACAAUGGGCGCAAGCCUGAUCCAGCCAUACCGCGUGGGUGAAGAAGGCCUUCGGGUUGUAAAGCCCUUUUGUUGGGAAAGAAAAGCAGCAGGUUAAUACCCCGCUGUUCUGACGGUACCCAAAGAAUAAGCACCGGCUAACUUCGUG